This 506-nucleotide ribosomal RNA is filed under the name Pherbina coryleti. RNAcentral describes it as "partial 16S ribosomal RNA". It matches the Rfam family "Bacterial large subunit ribosomal RNA", at positions 1825 to 2595 of the family's 2925-position model. Lineage: Eukaryota; Metazoa; Arthropoda; Insecta; Diptera; Sciomyzidae. The record is from RNAcentral.
GUCUUUUAGAAAUAAAUUUAAAGUCUGACCUGCCCACUGAUAAUUUAAAGGCCGCAGUACACUAACUGUGCAAAGGUAGCAUAAUAAUUAGUCUUUUAAUUGAAGGCUGGAAUGAAUGGUUGGACGAAAUAUUAACUGUUUCAUUGGAAUUUAGAAUAGAACUUUAUUUUUUAGUAAAAAAGCUAAAAUACAAUUAAAAGACGAGAAGACCCUAUAAAGCUUUAUAUUUUCAGUAAUAUGUAAAGAAUGAUAAAUAUAUACUUAUUAUAAAAAAAUAUUUUAUUGGGGUGAUAUUAAAAUUUAACAAACUUUUAAUUUUUAAAACCAGUAGUUUCUGAGUAAAUGAUCCGUUUUUUAUGAUUAUAAAUUUAAGUUACUUUAGGGAUAACAGCGUAAUUUUUUUGGAGAGUUCAUAUCGAUAAAAAAGAUUGCGACCUCGAUGUUGGAUUAAGAAAUAUUUUUAGGCGCAGCCGUUUAAAUGAUAAGUCUGUUCGACUUUUAAUUUC